RNAcentral lists this ribosomal RNA (424 nucleotides) under uncultured bacterium. Its description in RNAcentral is "partial 16S ribosomal RNA". It matches the Rfam family "Bacterial small subunit ribosomal RNA", at positions 360 to 776 of the family's 1533-position model. The record is from RNAcentral.
AAUAUUGGACAAUGGGCGAAAGCCUGAUCCAGCCAGGCCGCGUGUGUGGAGAAGGACUUCGGUUUGUAAAGCACUUUAAGUGGGGAGGAAGGGUUGUAGGUUACUACCCUGCAAUUUUGACGUUACCAACAGAAUAAGCACCCGCUAACUUCGUGCCAGCAGCCGCGGUAAUACGAAGGGUGCAAGCGUUAAUCGGAAUUAAUGGGCGUAAAGCGCGCGUAGGUGGUUCGUUAAGUUGGAAGUGAAAGCCCCGGGCUUAACCUGGGAAUUGCUUUCAAAACUGACGAGCUAGACUACGGUAGAGGGUAGUGGAAUUUCCUGUGUAGCGGUGAAAUGCGUAGAUAUAGGAAGGAACAUCAGUGGCGAAGGCGACUACCUGGACUGAUACUGACACUGAGGUGCGAAAGCGUGGGGAGCAAACAGG